RNAcentral lists this ribosomal RNA (460 nucleotides) under uncultured bacterium. RNAcentral's name for it is "partial 16S ribosomal RNA". It matches the Rfam family "Bacterial small subunit ribosomal RNA", at positions 338 to 795 of the family's 1533-position model. The record is from RNAcentral.
CCUACGGGAGGCUGCAGUGAGGAAUAUUGGUCAAUGGGCGCGAGCCUGAACCAGCCAAGUAGCGUGAGGGAGGACGGCCCUACGGGUUGUAAACCUCUUUUGCCGGGGAGCAACGGGCGUCACGUGUGGCGCCACUGAGAGUACCCGGAGAAAAAGCAUCGGCUAACUCCGUGCCAGCAGCCGCGGUAAUACGGGGGAUGCGAGCGUUAUCCGGAUUUAUUGGGUUUAAAGGGUGCGUAGGCGGAUCGUUAAGUCAGUGGUCAAAUUGAGGGGCUCAACCCCUUCCCGCCAUUGAAACUGGCGGUGGGGAGUGGAAGAGAGGUAUGCGGAAUGGGGGGGGUAGCGGUGAAAUGCGUAGAUAUGACGCAGAACCCCGGUGGGGAAGGCAGCAUGGCGGCUUCCGACUGACGCUGAAGCACGAAAGCGUGGGGAUCGAACAGGAUUAGAUACCCGUGUAGUC